CCUUACCUACCCUUGACAUGUUCGGAAUUCUGCAGAGAUGCGGAAGUGCUCGAAAGAGAACCGGAACACAGGUGCUGCAUGGCUGUCGUCAGCUCGUGUCGUGAGAUGUUGGGUUAAGUCCCGCAACGAGCGCAACCCUUGUCAUUAGUUGCUACGAAAGGGCACUCUAAUGAGACUGCCGGUGACAAACCGGAGGAAGGUGGGGAUGACGUCAAGUCCUCAUGGCCCUUAUGGGUAGGGCUUCACACGUCAUACAAUGGUCGGUACAGAGGGCUGCCAACCCGCAAGGGGGAGCCAAUCCUUUAAAACCGAUCGUAGUCCGGAUUGAGGUCUGCAACUCGACCUCAUGAAGUCGGAAUCGCUGGUAAUCGCGGAUCAGCAUGUCGCGGUGAAUACGUUCCCGGGUCUU
Molecule: ribosomal RNA, 409 nt
Filed under: uncultured Alcaligenaceae bacterium
Lineage: Bacteria; Pseudomonadati; Pseudomonadota; Betaproteobacteria; Burkholderiales; Alcaligenaceae
Description: bacterial SSU rRNA
Rfam family: Bacterial small subunit ribosomal RNA
Source: RNAcentral